RNAcentral lists this ribosomal RNA (497 nucleotides) under uncultured bacterium. RNAcentral describes it as "partial 16S ribosomal RNA". It matches the Rfam family "Bacterial small subunit ribosomal RNA", at positions 28 to 507 of the family's 1533-position model. The record is from RNAcentral.
GAUGAACGCCGGCGGCGUGCCUAAUACAUGCAAGUCGAGCGAACGGACGAGAAGCUUGCUUCUCUGAUGUUAGCGGCGGACGGGUGAGUAACACGUGGAUAACCUACCUAUAAGACUGGGGUAACUUCGGGAAACCGGAGCUAAUACCGGAUAAUAUUUUGAACCGCAUGGUUCAAAAGUGAAAGACGGUCUUGCUGUCACUUAUAGAUGGAUCCGCGCUGCAUUAGCUAGUUGGUAAGGUAACGGCUUACCAAGGCAACGAUGCAUAGCCGACCUGAGAGGGUGAUCGGCCACACUGGAACUGAGACACGGUCCAGACUCCUACGGGAGGCAGCAGUAGGGAAUCUUCCGCAAUGGGCGAAAGCCUGACGGAGCAACGCCGCGUGAGUGAUGAAGGUCUUCGGAUCGUAAAACUCUGUUAUUAGGGAAGAACAUAUGUGUAAGUAACUGUGCACAUCUUGACGGUACCUAAUCAGAAAGCCACGGCUAACUACGUG